RNAcentral lists this ribosomal RNA (431 nucleotides) under uncultured bacterium. RNAcentral describes it as "partial 16S ribosomal RNA". It matches the Rfam family "Bacterial small subunit ribosomal RNA", at positions 29 to 506 of the family's 1533-position model. The record is from RNAcentral.
AACGAACGCUGGCGGCAUGCCUAACACAUGCAAGUCGAACGAGACCUUCGGGUCUAGUGGCGCACGGGUGCGUAACGCGUGGGAACCUGCCCUUAGGUUCGGAAUAACUCCCCGAAAGGGGUGCUAAUACCGGAUAAUGUCUUCGGACCAAAGAUUUAUCGCCUUUGGAUGGGCCCGCGUUGGAUUAGCUAGUUGGUAGGGUAAAAGCCUACCAAGGCGACGAUCCAUAGCUGGUCUGAGAGGAUGAUCAGCCACACUGGGACUGAGACACGGCCCAGACUCCUACGGAGGCAGCAGUGGAGAAUAUUGGACAAUGGGCGAAAGCCUGAUCCAGCAAUGCCGCGUGAGUGAUGAAGGCCUUAGGGUUGUAAAGCUCUUUUACCCGGGAUGAUAAUGACAGUACCGGGAGAAUAAGCUCCGGCUAACUCCGU